This 588-nucleotide ribosomal RNA is filed under the name uncultured bacterium. Its description in RNAcentral is "bacterial SSU rRNA". It matches the Rfam family "Bacterial small subunit ribosomal RNA", at positions 338 to 916 of the family's 1533-position model. The record is from RNAcentral.
CCUACGGGAGGCAGCAGUGGGGAAUUUUGGACAAUGGGCGCAAGCCUGAUCCAGCCAUGCCGCGUGCGGGGAGAAGGCCUUCGGGUUGUAAACCGCUUUUUGUCAGGGAAGAAAUCCUUUGAGCUAAUACCUCGGGGGGGAUGACGGUACCUGAAGAAUAAGCACCGGCUAACUACGUGCCAGCAGCCGCGGUAAUACGUAGGGUGCGAGCGUUAAUCGGAAUUACUGGGCGUAAAGCGUGCGCAGGCGGUCUUGCAAGACAGGUGUGAAAUCCCCGGGCUUAACCUGGGAACUGCACUUGUGACUGCAAGGCUGGAGUACGGCAGAGGGGGAUGGAAUUCCGCGUGUAGCAGUGAAAUGCGUAGAUAUGCGGAGGAACACCGAUGGCGAAGGCAAUCCCCUGGGCCUGUACUGACGCUCAUGCACGAAAGCGUGGGGAGCAAACAGGAUUAGAUACCCUGGUAGUCCACGCCCUAAACGAUGUCAACUGGUUGUUGGACGGCUUGCUGUUCAGUACGAAGCUAACGCGUGAGUUGACCGCCNGGGGAGUACGGCCGNGAAGGUUGAAACGUCAAAGGGAAUUGACGG